UGAGGAUCAUUAUCGUAGGGCUUCGGCCCUGUCGAGAUAGAACCCUUGCCUUUUUGAGUACCUUUCGUUUCCUCGGCAGGCUCGCCUGCCAAUGGGGACCACAAAAAACACUUUGCAGUACCUGUAACAGUCUGAACAAACAAAACAAAAAUUAAAACUUUCAACAACGGAUCUCUUGGUUCUGGCAUCGAUGAAGAACGCAGCGAAAUGCGAUAAGUAGUGUGAAUUGCAGAAUUCAGUGAAUCAUCGAAUCUUUGAACGCACAUUGCGCCCUUUGGUAUUCCUUAGGGCAUGCCUGUUCGAGCGUCAUUUAAACCUUCAAGCUAAGCUUGGUGUUGGGUGACUGUCCGCUUCACUGCGGACUCGCCUCAAAAUUAUUGGCGGCCGGUACAUUGGCUUCGAGCGCAGCAGAAACGCGAACUCGGGCCCGUCGUAUUGGCUCCCAGAAGCUAUCUUCACAAUUUUGACCUCGGAUCAGGUAGGGAUACCCGCUGAACUUAAGCAUAUCAAUAAGCGGAGGA
Molecule: ribosomal RNA, 521 nt
Filed under: uncultured Pleosporales
Lineage: Eukaryota; Fungi; Ascomycota; Dothideomycetes; Pleosporales
Description: eukaryotic LSU rRNA
Rfam family: 5.8S ribosomal RNA (bases 156-309)
Source: RNAcentral